Molecule: long non-coding RNA, 1752 nt
Organism: Amphiprion ocellaris (clown anemonefish)
Lineage: Eukaryota; Metazoa; Chordata; Actinopteri; Pomacentridae
Source: Ensembl
GUUCGUAACCUGGAUUCAACACACAGUUUCUCGUGACUUCGUGCGAUUUCCCGUGAUUUCCCGUGAUUUUCACCACUCACUUGAGCAGACCCCACUUUGACAUGGCCCUGAGCUUUAAAAAGGUCAGAGCCUUUUUAUCAUCAAAGGCCUCGACUCCAACAGACGAUGCGACUGAAAACAGAAAGGAGCGUGAACGUUGGCCAUUUUCCAAGGCUGCCAAAAGGCAAUUUGAUGAAAUGCAGGCAGACCAGAAGAAGAUUUUUAAGAGGAAACAUCCAGAGUUCCCUGUGGAUCUGGACCAAGAGCAAAGCGAGUCUGUAGUCAGAAGCUCAGAAAGAUGUCCUUCAUCAGGAAGGCCUUCUGAGUCUGUGUCUACAGUCAACUCCAGAAAAACUUGUGAAAAAGUUUCCAAAUGUACCAGCAGGGACGAUGAGGACUAUGAUGAGGACGCUGAUAAAUUCUCUACACCAGUUGUAGCCCUCAGAUACUCAGAGUCUCUCGACACUUUGGUGUCGGUCCAUGAAGAGUCUGAGUCCGAUGACAGAUCCUCCUAUCAAGAACCAGCGACUGAACUGGUCUCUGCUCCUGAACCCGCCGCUUCCCAGGUCAGAACUGAAUCACAUUCUUCACUCUACUUGUCCCCCGAAGAAAAGGAUGUCGUCAGCGCUCUGCUGCUGAAGGUGAUGGCAAAAUUCUUCUGUAAAUCCAGGGUGUUAGUCACCACAGAGCAACUCCAGAUCAUCCUGAAGCAACUGUUGAUCCUUCUGGAUGAACGCUACCUGUCACCUGACUUCAUCACAAAAAUAACCCAGGAGACGGACAAAAUAUCGAAGGCCAUGGUGAAGGACCUUGACAGGAUGUUUAGCUCUGCAGAAAAGCUGCUGGAGGCAGCGACGACGGCAAAAGAUGAAUCUUUUAAGGACGCUGUGUGGAUGGCUUUGCAGGUUAAUUUAGAAGCCAUCCCUCGACCAGACAAUUUGAAAUCUGGAGACACCAGGUUCUUCUCAGCGGUGGGAAGAGGCUUCAGCGAAAACUUUCGCCGUUUGAAGAAGAGUUGGGCAGGUUCUAAUACCGUAGCGAUUAUAUUAGUAAUCCUUUUUUGUGUAUCAGUAUUUCCUCUGUGAGAAAAUCACAGUAGAGAUAAGUCCUUUAUUUUUCCCCAAGCCAGGGGAAAUUCACAUUGUUGUGGAAACGCAAUUCAAGAGAAGAAUUACAAAGGCUUGAGUUUUCCCCGGGAUGCUCCGGUUUCCUCUCACAUCACAAAAACACAAACUAAUUGUACUCUCUAAAUUGCCCCCAACAAAGAAAAGAAAAAAAAUAUCUCAAAGAAAAGUGAAAUGUAAGGGCAGCAGGGUGGAAUCAGUGAAGAGCACAGCAGCCUCAUAAAAACGACUCCACUACUCUGGUGGGCUGUUUUCUGUGGCCACUUCUGUUUUCUCCCCGUGCAAAUUGAUUAAUUGGACUCUCUAAAUUGCCUCCCAAAAACAAAAAGAAAAGAAAAAAAUAAAACCAAAUAAAAAUAAAAGAAAAAAAAUCUAUUAUCAGUCAUUAUCAGCAAAUAAAUAUAAUUUCGCCUUAAUUCUACAUUUGUUUGUUUCUCUCAGUAAAUGCACCACAUUCUGGUUGUUGUUGUUCAAACACUGGUGGUUCUGAUUUAAACAGAACUAAAGCUCAGAAGGUAGUUUUUAGUACUGAACAGGGUUCAUAUGGUGGACAAGAGCUUGUUGUUCCAACAAUGUCAUUGUUUUUUCA